Molecule: transfer RNA, 67 nt
Filed under: Ophiosteira antarctica
Lineage: Eukaryota; Metazoa; Echinodermata; Ophiuroidea; Amphilepidida; Ophiuridae
Description: tRNA-Ser
Source: RNAcentral
AGAAAUAACCGAGUAUUCUUAUCUUGCUAAGUUAAAGAAUCCGUAGUUUGAUUCUAUGGUAUUUCUG